RNAcentral lists this long non-coding RNA (202 nucleotides) under Capsicum annuum. Its description in RNAcentral is "long non-coding RNA (CANN_LNC021727)". Lineage: Eukaryota; Viridiplantae; Streptophyta; Magnoliopsida; Solanales; Solanaceae. The record is from RNAcentral.
CUUUGGUGUCGCUGAAGGGCAUCUUCUAUUUGAAAGGCAGGAUAAUGGUUUUGGCAAGUAUAUUUGAAGCGUGGCUCGUAUUUCCAUUUCAAAGGUUUUGUUUGGCGGGGAGUCAUCUGAGUAAUUAGUGCCAGAGUAAGACAUCAUGAAUAGUUUGGUAGUGGGCUGGUUUUCUUUGUUUCAAGUGAUUUUCACUUGUGGU